Molecule: ribosomal RNA, 460 nt
Filed under: uncultured bacterium
Lineage: Bacteria
Description: partial 16S ribosomal RNA
Rfam family: Bacterial small subunit ribosomal RNA
Source: RNAcentral
CCUACGGGUGGCAGCAGUGAGGAAUAUUGGUCAAUGGGCGCGAGCCUGAACCAGCCAAGUAGCGUGAAGGAUGACUGCCCUACGGGUUGUAAACUUCUUUUAUAAAGGAAUAAAGUGAGGCACGUGUGCCUUUUUGUAUGUACUUUAUGAAUAGGGAUCGGCUAACUCCGUGCCAGCAGCCGCGGUAAUACGGAGGGUCCGAGCGUUAUCCGGAUUUAUUGGGUUUAAAGGGAGCGUAGAUGGGUUGUUAAGUCAGUUGUGAAAGUUUGCGGCUCAACCGUAAAAUUGCAAUGGAUACUGGCAGGCUUGAGUACAGUUGAGGUAGGCGGAAUUCGUGGUGUAGCGGUGAAAUGCUUAGAUAUCACGAAGAACUCCGAUUGCGAAGGCAGCUUACUAGACUGCCACUGACAUUGAGGCUCGAAAGUGUGGGUAUCAAACAGGAUUAGAUACCCGGGUAGUC